Molecule: ribosomal RNA, 558 nt
Filed under: Aureobasidium pullulans
Lineage: Eukaryota; Fungi; Ascomycota; Dothideomycetes; Dothideales; Saccotheciaceae
Description: partial 26S ribosomal RNA
Source: RNAcentral
CAACCAUUACGCCAGCAUCCUAGCCGAAGCGCGGACCUCAGUCCCGGCUGGCCGUAUUACACCCUGGGCUAUAACACCUCCACCGAAGUGGAGGCCACAUUCCCAGAGCCUUUAUCCGGCCGCCGAAACUGAUGCUGGCCUGUCCAAACUGAGUAAACCGGUCAGAAGACCGGCCGAACAGUUUAAACAAGUCUGAUUGCAAGCGCUUCCCUUUCAACAAUUUCACGUGCUUUUUAACUCUCUUUCCAAAGUGCUUUUCAUCUUUCGAUCACUCUACUUGUGCGCUAUCGGUCUCUCGCCAAUAUUUAGCUUUAGAAGAAAUUUACCUCCCAUUUAGAGCUGCAUUCCCAAACAACUCGACUCGUCGAAGGAGAUUUACAUAGGGUGCCAUUUCCUGUCACAUACGGGAUUCUCACCCUCUAUGACGUCCUGUUCCAAGGAACUUAGACAGGCGGCUUCCCCAAAUCAUCCUCUACAAAUUACAAUGCGAACCCGAAGGCUAGCUUUCAAAUUUGAGCUGUUGCCGCUUCACUCGCCGUUACUAGGGCAAUCCCUGUU